GCUCUCUCAUCUCUCAUCUUGUAGGCAGUAAUAUUUUGAUGAAUGUGUUACAAAACAAAUUCCGUAUUGACAUUCAGUAGCUUAGAGAGAGUAGCACAGAGAAACGUUGUUGUGUUGUGGAUGACAAAGAACACAUGUGACAGCAAGUCCAGGUAUUACUACAUGGGGAGUACAAAAUUACUUUUACUGAGAGAUCACUUGAAUCCUUGAUAGCUACUAGCCAUAGGAACCUAACCCAGAAAAAAUGUGCGAAAAAGAAACAUUUUGUACUACCAUUAGUCAUCGAUGGCGUGUAAUGUUAUAUUUUCUUGCUUCCCUAGCGUUGAAUUAGAACAGCAUUUUCAAGAGCUGCAUUAGCUCAUUACUUAUCUCUUGUACUGUUAAUUUUAUUUUCAAAACCAAACUUGUACUGGGCACAUGAGUUCCGAUAGUAGCUUCUCUUUGACAGAUUUUACAUAAUCAAGCAUUCUUGAUGUGCUGCCUUUCUUCCAGAUAUAUAGAUUCAGUUUUGAAUCCGAUUCUCAAAUCAGACAAUCAUAAUUCUAUUGCCAGUUCUGAAACAAAGAAAUGUUUGCGUAACAGUCCCAUAAACAGCACCAAAACGAAUCCCCAUCCUUGGUAACUUGCUGGCUUUGAUCUUCCAGGGCAGCAUGAAUGAUCAGUACUCCCUUUAAUCAAUGCGCGCUCAUCGAGCCAUAGUAGCAUCUCAUUUGUCCUAAAUUCUUCCACUCUCUGGAAACAAGUCCCGGAAUGGAUGUGAAUAGAGUAUACUCCCAUGGUUUUGCGAGAAAUCGUACAAUAAGAGUACCGUUCACUAUGUAUUUUAUCAUCAGUUAAAAAAUAAUCACAGAAAAAGUUCAAUUGUGUUAUUGAAACAACUCAAUUUAUAAGUAUUAUAUUAUAUGAUAAGUGAUGCAUAGGGAUGUUGCAACAGUUCGACUCACAGAGCUAGUAAGUUCGACGAAAAAACAGCACAAGGCAUGUCAGUUCGCGCAGAGCAUAUCAGUCUUUCAAUUCGUGAGCUCGUCAGUUCACCGAUGGGAUCCGCAGCUCCCAGGUGGUUCACAGCCGCCGCCCUAGUCCGUUCAUCACUGCCAAUCGAGGCCGUUCGAC
Molecule: long non-coding RNA, 1113 nt
Filed under: Triticum aestivum (bread wheat)
Lineage: Eukaryota; Viridiplantae; Streptophyta; Magnoliopsida; Poales; Poaceae
Description: lnc_521
Source: RNAcentral